RNAcentral lists this ribosomal RNA (253 nucleotides) under uncultured bacterium. RNAcentral describes it as "partial 16S ribosomal RNA". It matches the Rfam family "Bacterial small subunit ribosomal RNA", at positions 524 to 776 of the family's 1533-position model. The record is from RNAcentral.
GACGUAGGAGGCGAGCGUUGUCCGGAUUCAUUGGGCGUAAAGAGCACGCAGGCGGUUUGGCAAGUCGGAUGUGAAAACCCGGAGCUCAACUCCGGACCUGCAUCCGAAACUGCCCGACUAGAGGUAGGUAGGGGAGAUCGGAAUUCCUGGUGUAGCGGUGAAAUGCGCAGAUAUCAGGAGGAACACCAACGGCGAAGGCAGCUCGCUGGGACGGUACUGACGCUGAGACGCGAAAGCGUGGGGAGCAAACAGG